This 497-nucleotide ribosomal RNA is filed under the name uncultured bacterium. RNAcentral's name for it is "partial 16S ribosomal RNA". It matches the Rfam family "Bacterial small subunit ribosomal RNA", at positions 28 to 507 of the family's 1533-position model. The record is from RNAcentral.
GAUGAACGCUGGCGGCGUGCCUAAUACAUGCAAGUCGAGCGAACGGACGAGAAGCUUGCUUCUCUGAUGUUAGCGGCGGACGGGUGAGUAACACGUGGAUAACCUACCUAUAAGACUGGGAUAACUUCGGGAAACCGGAGCUAAUACCGGAUGAUAUUUUGAACCGCAUGGUUCAAAAGUGAAAGACGGUCUUGCUGUCACUUAUAGAUGGAUCCGCGCUGCAUUAGCUAGUUGGUAAGGUAACGGCUUACCAAGGCAACGAUGCAUAGCCGACCUGCGAGGGUGAUCGGCCACACUGGAACUGAGACGCGGUCCAGACUCCUACGGGAGGCAGCAGUAGGGAAUCUUCCGCAAUGGGCGAAAGCCUGACGGAGCAACGCCGCGUGAGUGGUGAAGGUCUUCGGAUCGUAAAACUCUGUUAUUAGGGAAGAACAUAUGUGUAAGUAACUGUGCACAUCUUGACGGUACCUAAUCAGAAAGCCACGGCUAACUACGUG